AGCAAGGUGAAAAAGGCACAGUCCUAUAUUUCUGUUAAUACUUUGUACAAUAUAUAUGUAACAUCCCAAAUUUUCAAAACUCUCCAUGUGCAUUACAUUUCAUAUUGCAUUUAAUCACAUUUAAAAACCCUAAAAUUAACCCAGAAAACCAUUUUACAAAAGUGCUUUUAUUUGAAUUUGGGCCUGGUUCUUGCUUUUGAAUAAUUGCAUUUCAAUCCAUGAGGGUUUUGGCAUAAAAAGGGAUUUGAUGCAUAUAUAAAGCUAUCCCAUAAUUUGGCUUUUGAAUUCGUUUUGAAAGAACAAAUUAUUUUGAUAACUAAAAGGCCCUAAAGGCCAAAUUAUAGGCAAAAAUAUUUUUAAAUAUUUUAUAUGAGGGAAUUCUUGUCCCAAAAGUUAGAUCAUAUGAAAAUAUGAUUUUACAAAUUUUGUUGCAAUUUAUUUGGAGUGAUUUGGAGCUUUGAAUCAAUUUUGGUGUUCACAAACAGAAAAUAGUACGAAAAAGGAAAAAAAAAGAAAACCGUGACCGGCCUGCUAACCGACCGAACCGGCCUGCUAACCGACCGAACCGGAACAAACCGGCCAGCCCCGCACGCCUGAGCGCCUGUGCCGCCGACCGGUGGGCCCCGCCGUCUUCUUCUCCAACCGCCCCGUCCGGAAUCCCCAGCCACGACCCCGCGAGCACGCCUCGACCCCACCUCGUGAUUUCUCCACGCUCGAGCUCCCCUUUCCCAAAACCGUGCGCGUCACCCCGAAGCCCUCUCUUUUCUCCUUCUUUUCCCCCAACUCCCGCGC
Molecule: long non-coding RNA, 792 nt
Filed under: Brachypodium distachyon (stiff brome)
Lineage: Eukaryota; Viridiplantae; Streptophyta; Magnoliopsida; Poales; Poaceae
Description: long non-coding RNA (BDIS_LNC003882)
Source: RNAcentral